AUUAGAUCUACUUACCAUCAGACCUUUAUGCUAUUUCUUUUGCAGGAUCUCUUCAUGUGGUUGCCUGCACUAUAAUGUUGUUAAUAUUGUAACCAUUAGAAAGUUGUUGAACCCCCUCUCCCCCCAAGUGACAACUACUUGAUAUUGCAGCUCACACAAAAGGAUCAUACUUGCUGGUCACAAUAAGUUCAGAGCAGCCGACACAUGAGCGUAGGUUAGACUCUCGAACACGACACACUACAGGGUAUAACCACAGUCUCUCAAUAAAUGCUUAGCC
Non-coding RNA from Pelobates cultripes (western spadefoot toad), 277 nucleotides. Lineage: Eukaryota; Metazoa; Chordata; Amphibia; Anura; Pelobatidae. The record is from the annotation of a GenBank genome assembly.